GGGGGGGGGGGGGGGGGGGGGGGGGGGGGGCGGGGCGGGGGGGGGGGGGGGGGCGGGGGGACGCGAGGGGCGAAGGGGUGAGUAACACGUGAGUAACCUGCGCUCAUCUCUGGGAUGACAGUCGGAAACGGUGGCUAAUACUGGAUAUGCGCUUGCAAGGCAGCGUGUGGGUUGGAGAGAUUUUUUUUGGUUGGGGAUGGACUCGCGGCCUAUCAGCUUGUUGGUGAGGUAGUGGCUCACCAAGGCUUCGACGGGUAGCCGGCCUGAGAGGGCGACCGGCCACAUUGGGACUGAGAUACGGCCCAAACUCCUACGGGAGGCAGCAGUGGGGAAUAUUGCACAAUGGACGGAAGUCUGAUGCAGCAACGCCGCGUGCGGGAUGACGGCCUUCGGGUUGUAAACCGCUUUCAAUUGUGACGAAGCUUUUUUGUGACGGUAGCAGUAGAAGAAGCACCGGCUAACUACGUG
RNAcentral lists this ribosomal RNA (468 nucleotides) under uncultured bacterium. RNAcentral's name for it is "partial 16S ribosomal RNA". The stretch from base 53 to 468 matches the Rfam family "Bacterial small subunit ribosomal RNA", at positions 39 to 507 of the family's 1533-position model. The record is from RNAcentral.